GUGGGGAAUCUUGCGCAAUGGGCGAAAGCCUGACGCAGCCAUGCCGCGUGAAUGAUGAAGGUCUUAGGAUUGUAAAAUUCUUUCACCGGGGACGAUAAUGACGGUACCCGGAGAAGAAGCUCCGGCUAACUUCGUGCCAGCAGCCGCGGUAAUACGAAGGGGGCUAGCGUUGCUCGGAAUUAUUGGGCGUAAAGCGCGCGCAGGUGGGAUCUUAAGUCCAUUUUUAAAGUUCGGAGCUCAACUCCGUGAUGGGAUGGAAACUGGGAUUCUUGAGUACCGGAGAGGAAAGCGGAAUUCCCCGUGUAGCGGUGAAAUGCGUAGAUAUGGGGAGGAACACCAGUGGCGAAGGCGGCUUUCUGGACGGUGUCUGACACUGAGGCGCGAAAGCCAGGGGAGCGAACGGGAUUAGAAACCCUGGUAGUCC
RNAcentral lists this ribosomal RNA (424 nucleotides) under uncultured bacterium. Its description in RNAcentral is "partial 16S ribosomal RNA". It matches the Rfam family "Bacterial small subunit ribosomal RNA", at positions 354 to 796 of the family's 1533-position model. The record is from RNAcentral.